This 106-nucleotide ribosomal RNA is filed under the name uncultured bacterium. RNAcentral describes it as "partial 16S ribosomal RNA". It matches the Rfam family "Bacterial small subunit ribosomal RNA", at positions 1379 to 1482 of the family's 1533-position model. The record is from RNAcentral.
CCUUGUACACACCCGCCCGUCACACCAUGGGAGUCGGGUUGCUCCAGAAGGCGUUAGUCUAACCGCAAGGGGGACGACGCCCACGGAGUGGUCCAUGACUGGGGUG